This 495-nucleotide ribosomal RNA is filed under the name uncultured bacterium. Its description in RNAcentral is "partial 16S ribosomal RNA". It matches the Rfam family "Bacterial small subunit ribosomal RNA", at positions 28 to 507 of the family's 1533-position model. The record is from RNAcentral.
GACGAACGCUGGCGGCGUGCCUAAUACAUGCAAGUAGAACGCUGCAGGAGGAGCUUGCUUCUCCGGAUGAGUUGCGAACGGGUGAGUAACGCGUAGGUAACCUGCCUGGUAGCGGGGGAUAACUAUUGGCAACGAUAGCUAAUACCGCAUAAGAGUAGAUGUCGCAUGACAUUUGCUUAAAAGGUGCAACUGCACCACUACCAGAUGGACCUGCGUUGUAUUAGCUAGUUGGUGAGGUAACGGCUCACCAAGGCAACGAUACAUAGCCGACCUGAGAGGGUGAUCGGCCACACUGGGACUGAGACACGGCCCAGACUCCUACGGGAGGCAGCAGUAGGGAAUCUUCGGCAAUGGACGGAAGUCUGACCGAGCAACGCCGCGUGAGUGAAGAAGGUUUUCGGAUCGUAAAGCUCUGUUGUAAGAGAAGAACGAGUGUGAGAGUGGAAAGUUCACACUGUGACGGUAUCUUACCAGAAAGGGACGGCUAACUACGUG